UGGGGAAUCUUGGACAAUGGGCGCAAGCCUGAUCCAGCCAUGCCGCGUGGAUGAUGAAGGCCUUAGGGUUGUAAAAUCCUUUCAACGGGGACGAUAAUGACGGUACCCGUAGAAGAAGCCCCGGCUAACUUCGUGCCAGCAGCCGCGGUAAUACGAAGGGGGCUAGCGUUGCUCGGAAUUACUGGGCGUAAAGCGCACGUAGGCGGAUAUUUAAGUCGGAGGUGAAAUCCCAGGGCUCAACCCUGGAACUGCCCUCGAUACUGGGUAUCUGGACCAAAGUAGAGGUAAGUGGAAUUCCGAGUGUAGAGGUGAAAUUCGUAGAUAUUCGGAGGAACACCAGUGGCGAAGGCGACUUACUGGACUUUUGGUGACGCUGAGGUGCGAAAGCGUGGGGAGCAAA
RNAcentral lists this ribosomal RNA (400 nucleotides) under uncultured bacterium. Its description in RNAcentral is "bacterial SSU rRNA". It matches the Rfam family "Bacterial small subunit ribosomal RNA", at positions 355 to 772 of the family's 1533-position model. The record is from RNAcentral.